Molecule: unclassified non-coding RNA, 241 nt
Filed under: Hevea brasiliensis (rubber tree)
Lineage: Eukaryota; Viridiplantae; Streptophyta; Magnoliopsida; Malpighiales; Euphorbiaceae
Source: RNAcentral
UGUAUGAUCUUUUCUUGGAUCUCCAUGGUAAAGAUACUGGAGAGUGGUUGCGGAGGAGGAGGUGGUUUUUGCAGAGAUACUGAGAGAGAGAAGAGGAUAUUGAUGUGGGAGUUAUCUGAAGGUGCAGAUAUUCUCUGAGGGGAAGUGUUGUGUUAUUUGGGUUAAGGGAACCCUAAUUUUUGGUCACUUUACUAAAUCUGUAACUCUGUAUGUUGUCUCUUUGUUGAUGGUGAGAAAAGUU